GCGCCGUUAGCUCAGUUGGUAGAGCAUGGAAAAUCCCGCCUUGAAAAAAGCGGUAACUGCAACUACUUUCGUCUUUCUAACGCCAGUGUCACCUGUUCGAUUCAGGUACGGCGCACCA
RNAcentral lists this transfer RNA (118 nucleotides) under Ruminococcus sp. Its description in RNAcentral is "tRNA-OTHER". It matches the Rfam family "tRNA". From Rfam's summary of the family: Transfer RNA (tRNA) molecules are approximately 80 nucleotides in length. Their secondary structure includes four short double-helical elements and three loops (D, anti-codon, and T loops). Lineage: Bacteria; Bacillati; Bacillota; Clostridia; Eubacteriales; Oscillospiraceae. The record is from RNAcentral.